UGGGGAAUAUUGCACAAUGGGCGCAAGCCUGAUGCAGCCAUGCCGCGUGUAUGAAGAAGGCCUUCGGGUUGUAAAGUACUUUCAGCGAGGAGGAAGGCGGUAAGGUUAAUAACCUUAUCGAUUGACGUUACUCGCAGAAGAAGCACCGGCUAACUCCGUGCCAGCAGCCGCGGUAAUACGGAGGGUGCAAGCGUUAAUCGGAAUUACUGGGCGUAAAGCGCACGCAGGCGGUCUGUCAAGUCGGAUGUGAAAUCCCCGGGCUCAACCUGGGAACUGCAUUCGAAACUGGCAGGCUAGAGUCUUGUAGAGGGGGGUAGAAUUCCAGGUGUAGCGGUGAAAUGCGUAGAGAUCUGGAGGAAUACCGGUGGCGAAGGCGGCCCCCUGGACAAAGACUGACGCUCAGGUGCGAAAGUGUGGGGAGCAAACA
Molecule: ribosomal RNA, 427 nt
Filed under: uncultured bacterium
Lineage: Bacteria
Description: partial 16S ribosomal RNA
Rfam family: Bacterial small subunit ribosomal RNA
Source: RNAcentral